This 268-nucleotide ribosomal RNA is filed under the name uncultured Lachnospiraceae bacterium. RNAcentral's name for it is "partial 16S ribosomal RNA". It matches the Rfam family "Bacterial small subunit ribosomal RNA", at positions 73 to 339 of the family's 1533-position model. The record is from RNAcentral. Lineage: Bacteria; Bacillati; Bacillota; Clostridia; Lachnospirales; Lachnospiraceae.
CUGGAGCUUGCUCCGGCCGAUUUAGUGGCGGACGGGUGAGUAACGCGUGGGUAACCUGCCUCAUACAGGGGGAUAACGAUUGGAAACGAUUGCUAAUACCGCAUAAGCGCACAGUACCACAUGGUGCAGUGUGAAAAACUCCGGUGGUAUGAGAUGGACCCGCGUCUGAUUAGCUAGUUGGUGAGGUAACGGCCCACCAAGGCAACGAUCAGUAGCCGACCUGAGAGGGUGACCGGCCACAUUGGGACUGAGACACGGCCCAGACUCC